This is a long non-coding RNA of Myotis daubentonii (Daubenton's bat), 527 nucleotides long. RefSeq lists it as uncharacterized. The record is from RefSeq and is a predicted model, not a curated record. Lineage: Eukaryota; Metazoa; Chordata; Mammalia; Chiroptera; Vespertilionidae.
CUUUGCAGUCCGAGUUCCGGGAGAAGAGCAGGCGAAAGGUCGCUGCGUUCCUUCAUUUCAAUUCUUUCUCGUUACCUGAGACUCAACUGUGUGAAAUAUGAAUCGGCAUAUAACACCAAGGCUCGAUUGGAGUUCAAUACUAGUAGAAGAUGAAGAAUCAGAUCAGCCAGUUGGAGCCGUGGCUGACCAGCAGCCCAGGGAUGAACAACCUCAACAAGAGGAGCCACCCACUGAGAGUCAGGAUAUUGCACCUGAUGAAGAGCAAGCACAUGCAGGAGCACCUGAGGUUCAAGGAGCUGACCUUGAAGCUGAUGUUCAAGAACUGGAGAAACCAGUGACUGGGGUUGAGGGUGGAGAUGAUCCUGAAAUCAUCGGGUAUGCUUGUGCAAAUCCAGAGCCCACUGAAAUGCCAGAAACAGGGGAAGGAAAACCAGCCAUUUAAAGGAAGAUGAUCUGAAGACACACAGAUUAUUUUUAUGUUGGAUACUUCACUGUUAAAGUUCUCUCAAUAAAGUUUUACACCAUUA